Molecule: small nucleolar RNA, 129 nt
Organism: Rattus norvegicus (Norway rat)
Lineage: Eukaryota; Metazoa; Chordata; Mammalia; Rodentia; Muridae
Product: small nucleolar RNA SNORA17
Source: Ensembl
AACAACAAGCAUUGCAGGUGUGGCUACUGUGACCCAUGUGCAUCAGUAGGUAGCAGAGAGGAGAGAGAGGCUAUGUCUACACUCAGUGUUCUGACCUGUGAACAUCUGAAUGAUUAAUAACCUAAAAUU